CAAGUCAUUUCUGCUUAACUGAUGCAACACAGAUGAUGCCAUGCUUCCUGAGACUGAAAGGUUUGCUAAGGAAAUUGCCUCUAAAAUUAUGGCAAGUAUAAAAUAAAGGACUAUUAGAGGAGAUACCACCUUAGCUGCUGUACCUAGGGAUACUGAUAAAGGAUAUAUCACAACACUCAUUCAUAACUGAAAGGAUAUUAAAAUCCAAAUAAAGCAAAAGACCAAAGAUAACUUAAGCCAUACCCCAAAAAGCUAAUUAACUAAUAAGUUAUUUUACUGUUUAACAGAAUGAAGAGAUUAAUGGUAGACAACUCUUUAGCUGGAAUAUUGGAAAGACUUACACAAUGAAAGCAAUAAGUGACAUAGAUCUUGCUAAAAAUCAAUAAAGCAAGUAAAGCCAGUUGGCACACUAUUUAACGUGAAUCAAUGUGAAUGAUAUCUCAUCAAACUUGAGGUGUCAUUCAAGAAGGAAUACUUGCUAUUUCUGUCUCCUAAAUUUCCAAGAAGACAUUACAAGUGUCUAAAAUGAGCACACUCUUAGGUGACCCUGAUAGAAGUGCAUUUUAUAUUUACUUGUGAAACGUGCCCCAAAAGUUAAAGAAACCAAUAACUCAUAUAAAUUCUUGGGUUUGCAGGAUGUCAGAUUAAAAACAAGAAACAGCUUCCUGAAACACUAAAACUCCCUCCACUUGUAAGACAACAAAACUGGCUGAAAUCUUUUCGAACCGAUACGGCCAGCUGGAGUUUGCACAGAACAAGCUUGCUGAUGUCACAGCCUGGAUUUCCACUGCACGUUUUAUAUUAACUCCUCCCCAAAUUUGCACAUGGGACCUAUAAGGAAGCACAAAGGGAUGACUGUGCGUGCCUGAGGGUCUUUCAGACCUCUCCUUUCCUCCCACCAAUUACCUGCUAAUCUCAGAAUCCACCCUCUUAAACCUUUUCUAGUAAAAGUAUUGCCUUAAAACCAGCACAGAGAGAUGGAUCUGAGCUUGACUCAUAUCUCCUUUGAGCCAUCAACCUAAUAACAAGAGAGAGCAACAAGGCCUGGGGUCCCUUUGCUGGAGCACAGUCCCAAGGUGCAUCCGUCUGUGACCCAGGGAAACACCUCGAAGAGAAAAGUAGCUAUCUUCAAGCGACUAAAACUGAAGUAUAAUAAGAGAACCAUGUGAUUCAAGCAAGUCCACAACAGAGCCAACAGAGUCUGCUUUCAAAGGAAUCUGCAAAUUGAAGGAUACAAAC
Molecule: long non-coding RNA, 1239 nt
Filed under: Homo sapiens (human)
Lineage: Eukaryota; Metazoa; Chordata; Mammalia; Primates; Hominidae
Description: HSALNT0101465
Source: RNAcentral